This 74-nucleotide transfer RNA is filed under the name Bipalium adventitium. RNAcentral describes it as "tRNA-Asp". Lineage: Eukaryota; Metazoa; Platyhelminthes; Tricladida; Geoplanidae. The record is from RNAcentral.
AAAAAAUUAGUUUAGGAUUUUAAAAAAAUAUUUAGUUGUCAACUAAUUGAGAAUAUUUAUUGUGUUAUUUUUUU